This 653-nucleotide ribosomal RNA is filed under the name uncultured bacterium. RNAcentral's name for it is "bacterial SSU rRNA". It matches the Rfam family "Bacterial small subunit ribosomal RNA", at positions 202 to 842 of the family's 1533-position model. The record is from RNAcentral.
GAAAGAUGGUUUUGCUAUCACUUAUAGAUGGACCCGCGCCGUAUUAGCUAGUUGGUAAGGUAACGGCUUACCAAGGCGACGAUACGUAGCCGACCUGAGAGGGUGAUCGGCCACACUGGAACUGAGACACGGUCCAGACUCCUACGGGAGGCAGCAGUAGGGAAUCUUCCGCAAUGGGCGAAAGCCUGACGGAGCAACGCCGCGUGAGUGAUGAAGGGUUUCGGCUCGUAAAACUCUGUUAUUAGGGAAGAACAAAUGUGUAAGUAACUGUGCACAUCUUGACGGUACCUAAUCAGAAAGCCACGGCUAACUACGUGCCAGCAGCCGCGGUAAUACGUAGGUGGCAAGCGUUAUCCGGAAUUAUUGGGCGUAAAGCGCGCGUAGGCGGUUUCUUAAGUCUGAUGUGAAAGCCCACGGCUCAACCGUGGAGGGUCAUUGGAAACUGGGAAACUUGAGUGCAGAAGAGGAAAGUGGAAUUCCAUGUGUAGCGGUGAAAUGCGCAGAGAUAUGGAGGAACACCAGUGGCGAAGGCGACUUUCUGGUCUGUAACUGACGCUGAUGUGCGAAAGCGUGGGGAUCAAACAGGAUUAGAUACCCUGGUAGUCCACGCCGUAAACGAUGAGUGCUAAGUGUUAGGGGGUUUCCGCCCCUUA